GGUGUGUGAAGAAUGUUUGCUGUUAAGGCUGGAUCUGAUUUAAAUAGCUCUGCUGAUAGCUUAUCGUUUCCUGGGGCUUUAUUGUUUUUAAGACUCUUUACUGUUCUGAUAAUCUCUGAUCUUGAUGGAAUUUCUAUAUUUACUUCAAGGUCGUCUUCUGCUAUGGGUAUGUUUGCUGUUGUUUCUGGUUCUGGCCUAUUUAAU
This 204-nucleotide long non-coding RNA is filed under the name Mytilus galloprovincialis (Mediterranean mussel). Lineage: Eukaryota; Metazoa; Mollusca; Bivalvia; Mytilida; Mytilidae. The record is from RNAcentral.